This is a non-coding RNA of Gymnothorax javanicus (giant moray), 72 nucleotides long. The record is from the annotation of a GenBank genome assembly. NCBI's taxonomy places the organism in Eukaryota, Metazoa, Chordata, Actinopteri, Anguilliformes, Muraenidae.
GGCAUGGUGGCCAAGUGGUAAGCUGUUGCUUUUAUAAACUGAAGAUCAUAGGUUGGACCCCCAUCUGUGCUU